AUUUUGGUGGCUGAAUUUAGGCAGUAGAUUGUAAAUCUAUUUAUGACUUUAAAGUCUCUU
RNAcentral lists this transfer RNA (60 nucleotides) under Tritonia iocasica. RNAcentral's name for it is "tRNA-Tyr". Lineage: Eukaryota; Metazoa; Mollusca; Gastropoda; Nudibranchia; Tritoniidae. The record is from RNAcentral.